RNAcentral lists this ribosomal RNA (460 nucleotides) under uncultured bacterium. RNAcentral describes it as "partial 16S ribosomal RNA". It matches the Rfam family "Bacterial small subunit ribosomal RNA", at positions 338 to 795 of the family's 1533-position model. The record is from RNAcentral.
CCUACGGGGGGCAGCAGUGAGGAAUAUUGGUCAAUGGACGCAAGUCUGAACCAGCCAUGCCGCGUGUAGGAAGACGGCUCUAUGAGUUGUAAACUGCUUUUGUACGAGGGUAAACGCAGAUACGCGUAUCUUUCUGAAUGUAUCGUACGAAUAAGGAUCGGCUAACCCCGUGCCAGCAGCCGCGGUAAUACGGAGGGUUCAAGCGUUAUCCGGAUUUAUUGGGUUUAAAGGGUGCGUAGGCGGUCGGAUAAGUUAGAGGUGAAAUCCCGAGGCUCAACUUCGGAAUUGCCUCUGAUACUGGUCGGCUAGAGAGUAGUUGCGGUAGGCGGAAUGUAUGGUGUAGCGGUGAAAUGCUUAGAGAUCAUACAGAACACCGAUUGCGAAGGCAGCUUACCAAGCUACGUCUGACGUUGAGGCACGAAAGCGUGGGGAGCAAACAGGAUUAGAUACCCCAGUAGUC